GGUUCGAUGGUGUAGUUGGUUAUCACUUCUGUCUAACACGAAACUUACGUGUCUCACAGGCGGUCCUCAGUUCGAACCUGGGUCGAAUCA
Molecule: non-coding RNA, 90 nt
Organism: Mycena albidolilacea
Lineage: Eukaryota; Fungi; Basidiomycota; Agaricomycetes; Agaricales; Mycenaceae
Source: the annotation of a GenBank genome assembly